RNAcentral lists this ribosomal RNA (403 nucleotides) under bacterium. RNAcentral's name for it is "partial 16S ribosomal RNA". It matches the Rfam family "Bacterial small subunit ribosomal RNA", at positions 355 to 776 of the family's 1533-position model. The record is from RNAcentral.
UGGGGAAUAUUGCACAAUGGGGGAAACCCUGAUGCAGCGACGCCGCGUGAACGAAGAAGGUAUUCGUAUCGUAAAGUUCUGUCCUAUGGGAAGAUAAUGACAGUACCAUAGAAGAAAGCUCCGGCUAAAUACGUGCCAGCAGCCGCGGUAAUACGUAUGGAGCGAGCGUUGUCCGGAAUUAUUGGGCGUAAAGGGUACGCAGGCGGUUUAAUAAGUGGAAUGUUAAAGAUCGGGGCUCAACCCCGUAAAGCAUUGGAAACUGAUAAACUUGAGUAGUGGAGAGGAAAGUGGAAUUCCUAGUGUAGUGGUGAAAUACAUAGAUAUUAGGAGGAAUACCAGUAGCGAAGGCGACUUUCUGGACACAAACUGACGCUGAGGUACGAAAGCGUGGGGAGCAAACAGG